This is a long non-coding RNA of Rana temporaria (common frog), 294 nucleotides long. RefSeq lists it as uncharacterized. The transcript has 2 exons. Lineage: Eukaryota; Metazoa; Chordata; Amphibia; Anura; Ranidae. The record is from RefSeq and is a predicted model, not a curated record.
UACAGGUUGGCAUAUUGCUUUGCACUUUACAGAAAAUUACAGAGCUGCAGAAUGAAAAGUUGUGCUUUUCAAUCAUCAACUGUCAGGGGGACAUUUCAUGAAGACAACAAAUUACUAUUUCUACGAACAUUAUACUGGCAUGGCCCACUCUUGUCACCAUCAGUAACCCUCCUGAGAAAUGCCAUGUAGCCACCUCCAGAGAACAUGUGGACAAAAUAUGGAUGCAAAGACGCUGCAGGAGAUCUGCGGCAGCAAGAUUUAAAAAGGAUGAAAAUAAACUGAAACAAAUAUUUA